This 3175-nucleotide long non-coding RNA is filed under the name Mus musculus (house mouse). RNAcentral's name for it is "long non-coding RNA chr2:59758981-59762156". The record is from RNAcentral. Lineage: Eukaryota; Metazoa; Chordata; Mammalia; Rodentia; Muridae.
ACUCACUUAAGAGCACAUGGUGACUUUGGAAAGCUUUUUAAAAGUUAAACAUCUGUGAUUUUUCUAUAGAGGGAGCUUUGGAUUAGGGACAAAGAAAAGAAAAUCCAAACUGAUUGAAGCCUCUUUUCUUUUUGCCAUAAAAGUCAAUGCAUCACACCCCACACACUUCUAAGUCAAAGUAUACGUAUAACAUAUGUUAAUGCUUGUGGCGUUCAAUAGAUGCAUUAAUAGUUUGCGUUUGUUGUUUAUUUGUUGAGACAGAGUUUCUCUGUAUAGCUUUGGCUGUUCUGGAAUUCACUCUGUAGACCAGGCUGGCUUUGAACUCAUAGAGAUCCGCUUGCCUCUGCCUCCCACGUGCUGGGAUCAAAUGUGUGCAUCGCCGCCACCACCUGGCUAGGUUUUGCUAUUUUUUUAAUCAGCCCCAAGACUUUGUUUGUUCUUGUCUGGGAUUUGAUUGGUCCACAGAAUGUUCUAAACCCGCAGUGUGUUUCCCUGCACAAACAUGAGAGUAAAACUCUUAGCCUGUAAAAGCUUGUUUUUUCCUCCGGGUAAGCAUAAGCGUCUAAUUACUUCCAACACUGUAAGACACUCAUCCAUGGAAAGAGCACUCAGUCAGAUUUCCACUGUAGAAUGCCUAUGGCCGGCUCCCUUCUGCCUCCCCCAUGGUGGGGAUGGAGAACCCCUUCCUUUCAUAACCACUGUGUGCAUUCUGUGUCUGCUGAGGCACAGGAAGAAGUAGGGUAGGCUGGAUAGUGGGGUGUAUAAUGCUAACUGAAAAUGAACUGAAAUGCAAAAGCUGGGAUGGGUAAACGGGAGAUGGUUUUGGGAUGCACUGGACUGGCAUGUGGUGCUGAUGCAGUCUUCCUGGCAUGAGGUGACCACCCUGUACCGUUUGGGUAUAGAAGCAGCGCACAUUGAAGAUUUGUGACUAGGGGGACAAAGUGGUUGGUAUAUAGGUAUUAAAGGUUUGUGGUACGGACCACUUAGGUCAGAUGGCUGUAAGUGAGGGCUUGGGGACACCACUGAACUGGCCACUGCAGGGAUAGAAAGGAAAGUUUAUUGGGGAUCAAACCAAGACUAUCUCUGGGUGGGGAGGGGGAAACAGAGAAGAGUUGAAUGGCAGAAAGGCAAGCAGCUUUUGUAAAUAACAUUUUCUUUUUUUUUUAAGAUUUAUUUAUUUUAUGCAUAUGAGCUGUCUUCAGGCAUACCAGGAGAGGGCAUCAGAUCUCAUUACAGAUGGUUGUGAGCCACCAUGUGGUUGCUCGGAACUGAACUCAGGACCUCUGGAAGAGCAGCCAGUGCUCUUAACCUCUGAGCCAUCUCUCCAGCCGGAAGCAAGCAGAUUUUAUAUAACAGUCAGCAGGGUGGCAUCUUUGAGCUGAUAGUGGCUUUUCAAUUGAUCGGUAUCAAGAUGCCCUUGUCACUUUGGGGUAAAUUAAGGAACUUCCUGGUAAAUAAAAGCCCUCCUUUAGCCUUCUGUCUACCUAAUAAAAAUCCUUCUAUUUACCUGGCCAAAGUUCUUCUGUUUAGGACUUGUCAGAGCACUGCCAUUCUGGGGGCCACUUUGGACCUAACAGAGGCUGUGACAUAGAGAGAGACAGCCUCUCCCCCUUGUCUUUCUUUGUUGAAGGGAAAACAGAAAAAGUCUUCAAACGUGAGUACUGGUCAUCAUACUCAAUUCAGAUGAAUUCUGUCACCCCAUACCAGAAUCUCUACUGACCAAAGGCUUCAUAGUCCUGGCUUGAUUAAAGUCCUGGAGUUUUGACUAUAUUAGACAUGGAUACCAUUGGGAGGAUUCAUGGAGCUUCUAUGAAGGAUUCUACUGAUGUGAGAAGAGGAGACAGACUUCAAAUUUUUAUUGGACUAAUAAGAAAAGUGGUUACAAAUAAUUCUCAUUGUCAACUCCUCAGGCUUGAGGCAGAUUUGGACGCCUUUCCUGGCAGGAGAAGGUGUGUGUAUACUUGACUGUGGGCCAAGCUAAACUCAAGAGCAGCCAUUGGUCUUGCUAGAGUGGCCAAAACUUGCAUGUGUGCUCAUUCCCAAGGUCGCAGCUCUCUGAUUUGGCUUCCCCAGACCCCGUGAGGAUGCAUAGGUUGCAGAUGCGAGCUCUGAGACAUUUACAAUUGGCUAAUUUUAAGAAACAAGGUGUGUUCCUCUUUGUGGGUGUGAGACAGGGGUAUGGUUCGUGUUUCUGGGUACAUAAUCAUAUGUAGAGAUAGCCACGAUGUGGCACAAGCCCCAGGAGUUACUCUGUUGGCUGAUGGAGAGGCAGUUGCCUAACGAAAUUGAACUUGACAAUUAGCAAAGGGUGGCGUGAUUUGCAAUCCUCGUGGAAUCUUUUAAGUUUCAACGGAGUUAAUUAAGCCUGCCAUAGCAAAGUGUAAGUGUUACGUCCAGAUCAUUGAACCUAAAGUGGACGCUGAUGCUGAGUGGAACCAACCGAGCUUUGAAUAAUAAGCCAAGCAUGCACAGAAGCACGAUGGGUAAAUGCUAACUCCCAGAGUUUAAUAUCAGCAUCGUCACUCAAAUUCCACUUGAAAGUUUGACCUCCUCGCCUCCCAUGCUUCCUUCGGGUGCUCUUAUUUAUGUCCCUGUGACCCCCCGGCUGCUGUCAGUAGUAUGUAACAGGACAGCAUUCGGCAGAUUAGCAGUCAGUCGAGCACAGCUCCUCCUGAGAUGCCUUGGAAAUUUCCCGUAGACUUGUGCAGUAUCAAUUUAUUCCAAAUGUUUAAGUUACUUUCUCCUCCAUUAACUCUUAGUGUUUGUUUGUUUGUUUUGCCCAGUGUUUGGAAUUUAAAUCAAAAGAAAAUAAGACCAAUGAGCAUACAUUUUGUUUACUAAGCUAGCCAUCUGGGACGUAGGUUCAAGCAGAUGAACUUUUUUUCUGGUAAGCAAAAAACUUGUUUAUUAAAGUUUACACAAGCCUGUAAACAUCUGUAAGGAAAGACGUACUAUAUACUUUUUUAAUAUUUUGAAAUAUUUUUGAAACAUGCAUUUUUUUUAAACUCUGGCAAAAACAGUGACUUAGUGGAUUGAGAAAAUAAUACUUCUCUCAUUCCUCCCCCUGCCCCCCGCCUCCCUCUGUCAAAUGGUCCUCAUAACCUAUGCACCAAAGAGAACAGGCCCUUUAUGCAUAAGCAUCCUGUCAUUAAAACUCAGUGUGUUCCCCCCCCCC